RNAcentral lists this long non-coding RNA (998 nucleotides) under Helianthus annuus (common sunflower). The record is from RNAcentral. Lineage: Eukaryota; Viridiplantae; Streptophyta; Magnoliopsida; Asterales; Asteraceae.
GCUUUCGAAUAGGGAGAUUUAAUGGUGUCUCACAUGAGUUUUACUUUCUUUGUUUUUGAUGAUACCUGGAAACUAGAAGGCUUCUUCAGUUAAGUUAAAUUGGAGGUCAUCUACUGCAAAUACAUAUAAGACUGGUACUUGUUGAUAACGUCUAAGUCGUAGGCACUUAACCCUUUUAGGCUUCAUUCUGAGUUGUUCUUUAUCGAUAGCAUGGGGGCUGGGGAAGAGAGCUCACCUGCUAAGCCUUCCAAACCUGCUUCAGUUGGAAAUUGCAAGCUUUCUAACCGUUUGGAUCCAGUUGCGAAAAAAUAAACCUUUGGACGAAAGUCACAAAACUGGCCAAACUUCAGGGACGAAAAUGGCAUUAUACUCAAUAAAAAAGCUUACUUUUUUAUGAACCCUGCUGUAUCAUUCUUUUUGUUUAAUUGUUCUGUUAUUUCAGGUUGCUGAUUUGGCAAGGCUAAGUCAUGAAAACACAGGGAAAUUGCUUGGGUAUUGUAUAGAUACUAGCCCGUCAACGAAUGUUAGUUUUUGAAUAUGCGUCGGACGGAACAUUGUAUGAGCAUCUCCAUUCUUGAUGACUUUGAAAGUUGGAAAACUCUUGUGAUGAGAUCAGAAAGUAGCGCACAUUCGAUUAGCCAUGAAGGUGAUAUGUGUUCUUCCGAGCUCGUUUGAAGAACGCGAUCUGGAUAUAUGUGUUCACAAGGAAAUCCAGCACACAUUUAAGGCCCCAAGACCGUAUAUCCAUGAAAGAAUUGUGUGCCAUUUUGGAAAAAUAGAAUCGACACAUCAUCUUCUUCAGAGAUGAAGGCGACUUCAUUAGCCUGGGCCGAGCUCAUGCUCUCCCCUUGACCAGAGUCAUAGAGCUUGGCAUCAUAUAGUAAAUACUUCCUAUAUACAUCAUUAUACUAGGACACGUUUAGGAAUUUUGUGUUCGUGAUCGUUUGACAAUUUCAAUCGAGAUUUUUUUAAUCAAGAUUAACCAUAUAAAUGUUAUA